ACUCCUACGGGAGGCAGCAGUGGGAAUAUUGCGCAAUGGGCGGAAGCCUGACGCAGCGACGCCGCGUGGGGAUGACGGCCUUCGGGUUGUAAACCUCUUUCGACCUUGACGAAGCCUUCGGGUGACGGUAGGGGUAGAAGAAGCACCGGCCAACUACGUGCCAGCAGCCGCGGUAAUACGUAGGGUGCGAGCGUUGUCCGGAAUUAUUGGGCGUAAAGAGCUCGUAGGCGGUCUGUCGCGUCGGUCGUGAAAACUUGGGGCUUAACCCUGAGCUUGCGGUCGAUACGGGCAUGACUUGAGUUCGGCAGGGGAGACUGGAAUUCCUGGUGUAGCGGUGAAAUGCGCAGAUAUCAGGAGGAACACCGGUGGCGAAGGCGGGUCUCUGGGCCGAUACUGACGCUGAGGAGCGAAAGCGUGGGGAGCGAACAGGAUUAGAUACCCUGGUAGGCUCUGC
Molecule: ribosomal RNA, 454 nt
Filed under: uncultured bacterium
Lineage: Bacteria
Description: bacterial SSU rRNA
Rfam family: Bacterial small subunit ribosomal RNA
Source: RNAcentral